UGCCGCCAAGUGUCCGACCUCC
This 22-nucleotide microRNA is filed under the name Macrophomina phaseolina MS6. RNAcentral's name for it is "miR-1421i-2*". The record is from RNAcentral. Lineage: Eukaryota; Fungi; Ascomycota; Dothideomycetes; Botryosphaeriales; Botryosphaeriaceae.